This 468-nucleotide ribosomal RNA is filed under the name uncultured bacterium. RNAcentral describes it as "partial 16S ribosomal RNA". It matches the Rfam family "Bacterial small subunit ribosomal RNA", at positions 28 to 507 of the family's 1533-position model. The record is from RNAcentral.
GACGAACGCUGGCGGCGUGCUUAACACAUGCAAGUCGAACGGAAAGGCCCUGCUUUUGUGGGGUGCUCGAGUGGCGAACGGGUGAGUAACACGUGAGUAACCUGCCCUUGACUUUGGGAUAACUUCAGGAAACUGGGGCUAAUACCGGAUAGGAGCUCCUGCUGCAUGGGGGGGGUUGGAAAGUUUCGGCGGUUGGGGAUGGACUCGCGGCUUAUCAGCUUGUUGGUGGGGUAGUGGCUUACCAAGGGUUUGACGGGUAGCCGGCCUGAGAGGGUGACCGGCCACAUUGGGACUGAGAUACGGCCCAGACUCCUACGGGAGGCAGAAGUGGGGAAUAUUGCACAAUGGGCGGAAGCCUGAUGCAGCAACGCCGCGUGCGGGAUGACGGCCUUCGGGUUGUAAACCGAUUUCGCCUGUGACGAAGCGUGAGUGACGGUAAUGGGUAAAGAAGCACCGGCUAACUACGUG